Molecule: ribosomal RNA, 492 nt
Filed under: uncultured bacterium
Lineage: Bacteria
Description: partial 16S ribosomal RNA
Rfam family: Bacterial small subunit ribosomal RNA
Source: RNAcentral
AGUGAACGCUGGCGGUAGGCCUAACACAUGCAAGUCGAACGGCAGCACAGUAAGAGCUUGCUCUUACGGGUGGCGAGUGGCGGACGGGUGAGGAAUACAUCGGAAUCUACUUUUUCGGGGGGGGUAACGUAGGGAAACUUACGCUAAUACCGCAUACGACCUACGGGUGAAAGCAGGGGAUCUUCGGACCUUGCGCGAUUGAAUGAGCCGAUGUCGGAUUAGCUAGUUGGCGGGGUAAAGGCCCACCAAGGCGCCGAUCCGUAGCUGGUCUGAGAGGAUGAUCGGCCACACUGGAACUGAGACACGGUCCAGACUCCUAAGGGAGGCAGCAGUGGGGAAUAUUGGCCAAUGGGAGCAAGCCUGAUCCAGCCAUACCGCGUGGGUGAAGAAGGCCUUCGGGUUGUAAAGCCCUUUUGUUGGGAAAGAAAAGCAGCAGGUUAAUACCCCGCUGUUCUGACGGUACCCAAAGAAUAAGCACCGGCUAACUUCGUG